GCCAACAAACUUCCAGUUUUUAUAGACAGCAUCAAAUCCACAUCCGCUCGUAUGCUCCAUCACAUAAAAUGUGUUUAAAAGAGUAACAUGGAACAGAUAUCAUGGUAUUCAAAUACAUAAUAUACAGGUACUAGCCACUUAUGACUACUUACUAUGGCUACAACUACAAACCUCUACAGCAAAUUUCGUCUCACAAAUCAGCGAACUAAUCAAUCACAAGAAUAUUGGCGGACCUGUACUGGAUCCCAGAAAUGCCAUCUUAGCGCACACAAUCAUAAGUUAAGGCCUUGUUUUGGAAUAGAUGCCUUUUUUCGUUUAUAUAAACAAAUAUUAUGUGGCGGAUUUGCCAGCAGGCGAACUUUCCUACUCUUGUGAUCGUUAGCUAUUGCAAUCCAACAUGGUCAGGUGCCAAAAGGCAAAAAAAAAAAAAAGGUGAAGCUAAAAAUAGUUAUUACUAACUUUUUAUCUUCUUGUUGCCAACAAACUUCCAGUUUGUAUAGACAGCAUCAAAUCCACAUCCGCUCGUAUGCUCCAUCACAUAAAAUGUGUUUAAAAGAGUAACAUGGAACAGAUAUCAUGGUAUUCAAAUACAUAAUAUACAGGUACUAGCCACUUAUGACUACUUACUAUGGCUACAACUACAAACCUCUACAGCAAAUUUCGUCUCACAAAUCAGCGAACUAAUCAAUCACAAGAAUAUUGGUGGAGAAUGAAUUCUCUAGCGCAAGAAAUUACAUUAGAUGCCCCAUAGGUUACUCUCAGCACCCUAACUACUUCUCAGUGUCAUCCACCAUAAUAUCAUAAAUAAGGAAAGGCUUAAUUACAAAAGUCCCUCUUGCACUUUAGGCCAUGUCAAUUUACCUCUCUAUAUUAAAAUUUGCAUAAAUUACCUAUCGGCACUUUGUCACUAUUUCAAAUAGGUCCAAAAUAUUUGUAUAACCAGUGAUUAGGUUGUAAAACUAAAACGAGUUGGAAUAUCACAUUGUUCCACAUCUAAACAUCUAUCGAAU
RNAcentral lists this long non-coding RNA (1010 nucleotides) under Ananas comosus (pineapple). RNAcentral describes it as "long non-coding RNA (ACOM_LNC040406)". Lineage: Eukaryota; Viridiplantae; Streptophyta; Magnoliopsida; Poales; Bromeliaceae. The record is from RNAcentral.